RNAcentral lists this ribosomal RNA (305 nucleotides) under uncultured bacterium. RNAcentral's name for it is "bacterial SSU rRNA". It matches the Rfam family "Bacterial small subunit ribosomal RNA", at positions 338 to 641 of the family's 1533-position model. The record is from RNAcentral.
CCUACGGGACGCAGCAGUGAGGAAUAUUGGUCAAUGGGCGGGAGCCUGAACCAGCCAAGCCGCGUGAAGGAAGAAGGCGCCAAGCGUCGUAAACUUCCUUUGUCGGGGAACAAAGGGCGCCACGUGUGGCGUUGUGAGUGUACCCGAAGAAAAAGCAUCGGCUAACUCCGUGCCAGCAGCCGCGGUAAUACGGAGGAUGCGAGCGUUAUCCGGAUUUAUUGGGUUUAAAGGGUGCGUAGGCGGACAGUCAAGUCAGCGGUAAAAAUGCGGUGCUCAACGCCGUACAGCCGUUGAAACUGGCAGUC